UUGAUUGUUGAUCCUGGCUCAGGAUGAACGCUAGCGGCAGGCUUAACACAUGCAAGUCGAGGGGUAGAGGAAGCUUGCUUCCUUGAGACCGGCGCACGGGUGCGUAACGCGUAUGCAACCUACCUUUUACAGAGGGAUAGCCCAGAGAAAUUUGGAUUAAUACCCCCAUGGUAUAUAUCAUUCGCAUGUUUGAUAUAUUAAAGUUCCAACGGUAAAAGAUGGGCAUGCGUCCUAUUAGCUAGAUGGUAAGGUAACGGCUUACCAUGGCAACGAUAGGUAGGGGUCGGAGAGGGAGAUCCCCCACACUGGUACUGAGACACGGACCAGACUCCUACGGGAGGCAGCAGUGAGGAAUAUUGGACAAUGGGCGCAAGCCUGAUCCAGCCAUGCCGCGUGCAGGAAGAAGCAUCUAUGGUGUGUAAACUGCUUUUGUACGGGAAGAAACACUCCUUCGUGAAGGAGCUUGACGGUACCGUAAGAAUAAGGAUCGGCUAACUCCGUGCCAGCAGCCGCGGUAAUACGGAGGAUCCAAGCGUUAUCCGGAAUCAUUGGGUUUAAAGGGUCCGUAGGCGGUUUGGUAAGUCAGUGGUGAAAGCCCGCAGCUCAACUGUGGAACGGCCAUUGAUACUGCCAGACUUGAAUUACAAGGAAGUAACUAGAAUAUGUAGUGUAGCGGUGAAAUGCUUAGAUAUUACAUGGAAUACCAAUUGCGAAGGCAGGUUACUACUUGUGGAUUGACGCUGAUGGACGAAAGCGUGGGGAGCGAACAGGAUUAGAUACCCUGGUAGUCCACGCCGUAAACGAUGGAUACUAGCUGUUGGGGGCAACUUCAGUGGCUAAGCGAAAGUGAUAA
Molecule: ribosomal RNA, 853 nt
Filed under: uncultured bacterium
Lineage: Bacteria
Description: bacterial SSU rRNA
Rfam family: Bacterial small subunit ribosomal RNA
Source: RNAcentral